CAAGUUUAAACCAUAACCUGAACCAAUAGGAACUGGUGGAUCAUACACACAACAUGUAGAUAUCGGAGCAUUUGGUUCUAAACCAAUUCCUGUUACUCCUUUACAAGAAUAUAGUCCUCUACAUACAUUUGAACCCGAGCCGGUAUCACACAAAUCUUGUUUUGGAUCAAACACAGCAGAUGUUGUAGAACAUCCUAGUAAAACAAAGAUGUUUUCUUUCAUAAUGCUGAAGGGAGUUACACAACAUGUAGAUAUAGGAGCAUUUGGUUCUAAACCAAUUCCUGUUACUCCUUUACAAGAAUAUAGUCCCCUGCAUACAUUUGAACCCGAGCCGGUAUCACACAAAUCUUGUUUUGGAUCAAACACAGCGGAUGUUGUAGAACAUCCUAGUAAAAUAAAGAUGUUUUCUUUCAUAAUGCUGAAGGGAGUCGAAUGAUCCAACGUAAAACUGCCUGAGUUUUGCAUUGAUGAACAUGUUGACAUAAAGGGGUCUGUUAAAAUAAGUGUGUUGGUUGCGUAGUCUAGUGUGGAUAUAGCGUAAAUGCCAGUGCCAGUUGAAAACUGAAGUACACCAGAAGUGCAUUUUAUGAAUCUUGAAAAUGUAGGAUGUCCACAACCAAAUCCUGAACCAAAGGGAUAUCUUAGGACAAUGUUGCCACAUUUAUCAGUACAAGAACUAUUCAGUGGAAUAAUACUUGGAACAGCUUGAAGUGUAUGAAUAAGAAGAAAUAAGAGAAAAACUGGAAAAAUUUGUGUAUAAAAUGACAUUAUGAAAGGCGUAGAAGAGAGAGGUGUUUGAAAGCAGGGGAGAGUGAUUUUAGUUUAC
This 826-nucleotide long non-coding RNA is filed under the name Nicotiana benthamiana. RNAcentral describes it as "long non-coding RNA (NBEN_LNC012807)". Lineage: Eukaryota; Viridiplantae; Streptophyta; Magnoliopsida; Solanales; Solanaceae. The record is from RNAcentral.